GAUGAACGCUAGCGGCAGGCUUAACACAUGCAAGUCGAGGGGUAUAGUUCUUCGGAACUAGAGACCGGCGCACGGGUGCGUAACGCGUAUGCAAUCUACCUUUUACAGAGGGAUAGCCCAGAGAAAUUUGGAUUAAUACCUCAUAGUAUGUGAGAAUCGCAUGGUUUUCACAUUAAAGUUCCAACGGUAAAAGAUGAGCAUGCGUCCCAUUAGCUAGAUGGUAAGGUAACGGCUUACCAUGGCGACGAUGGGUAGGGGUCCUGAGAGGGAGAUCCCCCCACACUGGUACUGAGACACGGACCAGACUCCUACGGGAGGCAGCAGUGAGGAAUAUUGGACCAAUGGGCGCAAGCCUGAUCCAGCCAUGCCGCGUGCAGGAUGACGGUCCUAUGGAUUGUAAACUGCUUUUGACAGGAAGAAACACUCCCUCGUGAGGGAGCUUGACGGUACUGUAAGAAUAAGGAUCGGCUAACUCCGUGCCAGCAG
RNAcentral lists this ribosomal RNA (486 nucleotides) under uncultured bacterium. RNAcentral's name for it is "bacterial SSU rRNA". It matches the Rfam family "Bacterial small subunit ribosomal RNA", at positions 28 to 514 of the family's 1533-position model. The record is from RNAcentral.